Poecile atricapillus (Black-capped chickadee) is the source of this 1504-nucleotide long non-coding RNA. RefSeq lists it as uncharacterized. The record is from RefSeq and is a predicted model, not a curated record. NCBI's taxonomy places the organism in Eukaryota, Metazoa, Chordata, Aves, Passeriformes, Paridae. The transcript has 3 exons.
CAAAUACAACUUAAGACAAGUGGAAUGAUAUAUAUAUAUCCUUGGACCAUUCAUUUAAUCUUGGCAAUUGUUGGCUACAUUGUAUUCCCUUUGCAAGCAGGACCUGUAUAGGCUUACCUUUAACUAAGCACUUACUCCUACAUUACUUCUAUCUUAAAUUCUUUUUAAUUUCUUUUACUUUAAUUUUUCUCAUAAGUUGCUCCUAUUUUAGUUAAAAUCUUAAUUUUCUUAACUCAGGAUAUACCUUCUGAAUGACUAGAUAUCUCACUUUUUUAAAGCAAAGCUCCUGUAAGGCAUACUCUAAGGUCAAGUCAUAUCACUUUGAAGACCCUAAGAGUAAUUGUGAAAAAGUAAUGAUUAUUCUACAGAAACUACUUGCUAUCACUUCCCUAUCAGAGCCUCAUGCUCAGUGCAGUGAAAGGUACCUACUCAAACAGAAGGCACUAUGGCAGUCUAGUGUCUUGCAGGUUUACUAUCAUUGACUAGGAAACAAAAGUAAUGAUAAUUUCCUACCCAAACUUUAAGUAUUUUUAAAAAGCUUUGAUUGUAUAAAACUCAAAUUACCAUGAGAUUCUAUUUUCAUUGCUUUAUUUAAUAUUCUGUUGCUUAUCUAUGAGACUUUGAUCAAGAGGCAGAGAUGCCUGCCAAGCAAUAUAUUUUCUUGAACUUUACCCAGUACUGUGCAUCAGCAGAUUUUGAUCUAUUUACUUACUGCUUAUUGAGUACAAAACACUCGCUCGCAGUGAGAGACUUCUCCAGGGUCAAGCACUUCAGGAUAGUUACACCAUCUGGAGAUGGUGGACAGCAAGCAGAACUGAAGGCACGCCUCACCCACUUUUGGUGAUCAGCUCCCCUUGCUGUUGGCCAGCACCGGGUGAUUGUUGGAGCUACUGUAACUGUCCAGGAGACAGAUGCGUGGCAGACAUGGGGAGUCCGUGAAGACGCCACAGGAAAGGACCACUGAAAAUCUCACCAGAAGCUCAGCUGGCACAGACCCUGCCUUUGGACUUUGCUGUUCACAACAUCCAACCAGGAGACUGGGUCCUAGUUAAGGAGUGGAAAGAAGCAACAGUGGUGGCAAACUGGCGUGGACGGUUCCAAGUGUUGCUGACCACAGAAACAGCCGUCAAGACAGCUGAACAUGGGUGGACACAUCACACUUGGGUCAGGGUCUCUAAAGCCCUGGAGAUUUGGACAUCUCAGCUGGAGGUGGACAGGAGGCCACGACUGACACUCCGAAGGUGUAGACCAGAGCAGUAGCCAAUGCAUCAGCAUCAGUAGAGGCCCUGUGUGCCUACCCACAGGUAGUCUGCUGAAAUAGUCUUUUUGUGCAUCCCUCCUUUUGGAUCUUCAGUCAUUGGGGAGCUAAUCCUUGCUGUCAUUGUUUCCUUUGUUGUUUCUGUGCCUUCACUCACCACAGGAGGUGCGGAAGACAAUGUGCGAAUUAGAUUAGGUGAUUAGAAUACACCAUUAGAAUGUUUUUCUUAAUAAUCUUACCAUUACA